AAGAUAACAUUAAUGUGCAUGAAAUUUAUUUCAUAGCCACUUCGUUUACUCCAUGCUCAUAUGCAACAUCUUCCCAAUCUAUUGGUCUCUCCGACAUCACCACACUUGAGAUCUCCAACCCCCUCUUCCUUUCUAUUUAUAAAAACUUUAAAAGGGUGGUUGUCGAUGCAUAUGUCUAUAAUAAAUAUUGCAGAUCUCGUUGAGUUGAUCUAGAUAUAGGUUGGCGUCGGAGGGGAAACCACUUCGCCAACAUAAACUGAUGGUUUCCCAAGGACAAGCUUAGUGUCUUAAAAUAAGCAUUGAUCAGAUCGUAACAUGAGCUUUUAAUUAUUUGCAACAUUACCUUGUGUAUUGAGCAUAUAAGGGUAAUUGUAAAAAAAUAUUCCUUCGGGUAUUCUUGUCACUAACCUUUCUAAGAUUGGAGCA
RNAcentral lists this long non-coding RNA (426 nucleotides) under Sorghum bicolor (sorghum). RNAcentral describes it as "long non-coding RNA (SBIC_LNC004615)". The record is from RNAcentral. Lineage: Eukaryota; Viridiplantae; Streptophyta; Magnoliopsida; Poales; Poaceae.